AAGAUGAAUGCUAAAGACUGGAAGACAUGGGAAUUAAAAACCAUGUCUUGAAGAGAACAGUAAGGGAG
This 68-nucleotide microRNA precursor is filed under the name Nematostella vectensis (starlet sea anemone). RNAcentral's name for it is "microRNA nve-mir-9412 precursor (nve-mir-9412-2)". It matches the Rfam family "mir-9412 microRNA precursor family". The record is from miRBase by way of RNAcentral. Lineage: Eukaryota; Metazoa; Cnidaria; Anthozoa; Actiniaria; Edwardsiidae.